This 492-nucleotide ribosomal RNA is filed under the name uncultured bacterium. RNAcentral describes it as "partial 16S ribosomal RNA". It matches the Rfam family "Bacterial small subunit ribosomal RNA", at positions 29 to 507 of the family's 1533-position model. The record is from RNAcentral.
AGUGAACGCUGGCGAUAGGCCUAACACAUGCAAGUCGAACGGCAGCACAGUAAGAGCUUGCUCUUACGGGUGGCGAGUGGCGGACGGGUGAGGAAUACAUCGGAAUCUACUUUUUCGUGGGGGAUAACGUAGGGAAACUUACGCUAAUACCGCAUACGACCUACGGGUGAAAGCAUGGGAUCUUCGGACCUUGCGCGAUUGAAUUAGCCGAUGUCGGAUUAGCUAGUUGGCGGGGUAAAGGCCCACCAAGGCGACGAUCCGUAGCUGGUCUGAGAGGAUGAUCAGCCACACUGGAACUGAGACACGGUCCAGACUCCUACGGGAGGCAGCAGUGGGGAAUAUUGGACAAUGGGCGCAAGCCUGAUCCAGCCAUACCGCGUGGGUGAAGAAGGCCUUCGGGUUGUAAAGCCCUUUUGUUGGGAAAGAAAAGCAGCAGGUUAAUACCCCGCUGUUCUGACGGUACCCAAAGAAUAAGCACCGGCUAACUUCGUG